UUUUUUAUAAGCAAAUAAAAUGGAAUGUUAAUUAAAAUAACUUGUUUGGUUCAUCAAAAAACUUUGAUACACAAAUAGCAGUUCUACAUUUAAAAGAAACACUAAAACAACAAAAUAGCUUCAAUAAUUUCCAUGAACACGUUUUUGCUAAGAUGAAAAUAAUGGUUUCUGAAUUCUUGAAGCUUAUGAAACAAAAUAAAAAAACAAUAAAUAUUACUAAAAUAAGAUGUUCCUUUCAGUUAUACAAUUAUACUUUAUACUGCCAUUUUGAUAUGUAAAUUUGUAACAGUAACAAAAUUUAAUUUACAACUGUCAAUACAAUUUUCUAAUAUUUAUAAAUAUACCAUAUAAAUAAUACCUAAGCUUCUUGAAAUUCUUUUUUUAUAUCAUUCAUUGAAAGCAGCAAGAUUCUCUCUUUUACUUAUAUUUUCAAUAAGUAAUCACGCUGACAAUUGAUUCAUUGGUGUUAAAUGCAACUUUCUGCCAAAUUGGCUAUUCUUGACAGACAGUUGUUUUAACUUUCUACAUGUAAUUACACUGAAAACAGAACCUGUACCAUUAAGACAUAUUUCAUUUUUUCUUCUUCAUUUUUUGUAAGUUACGAGAAAAGUUAGAGAGAGCCAAAGAAAUAUGUUAUCAAUCUUGCCAAAUAUGAUUGCAUGUUGUUUCAUUAACUUACAUUGGCAAACAUUACAUAAACUAUCAUAAACAAACUUUUUAAACAAAAUGCAAAGACAACAAUACUAAGGUUUUUCUGCAAAUCUACAACGAAAAACCAAAACAGACAUGAAAUCAUUUAUACAAUUACUUAUGCCUCAUUUAUUAUCUCCCCUUCCCACACAGCUCAUCUGUAUGCAACUAUCUUUAUUAUAGAAACUUGUUACGAAAUGUGUGUUCCAGUAAUGAAGACAAUAAUAGCUUAAAUCAUCCAACACAAAAACCAAUUAUUAAUACCUUCAAAAUCUUACUUUAUUACAAAUAUUGGGAACAAGUACAAAAUAUAUUAAUCUGUGUUUUUCAGACUUUUCCAUCAGACUUUUCCAAUCUCUAAACAAUCACAACCCACAAUUUUUCUUUUAAAAUACAUACAAGGAAAAAAAGAAUAUUUAGACAAGCAAGAGUUUUUAUAAAAACUUUCAACUUAAUGAUUCAUUUACCUUCUGAAAAAAAUUAAUUUAUAUGGAUGCACAACAUAAAACAGAUAAAUUAAACCCAGUGAAAAGGGGGGAUAACAAUCUUGGUAUGAAAACUAUCACUUUUCCAUCACAAAUUAACUUUCACACUUUCAAACCAGACAUACCAUCGUACAUUCACUCAAACUGUCAAAGAAUCAGAUCUUUAUAAAAAAAUAUUACUAGACUAUAUUCUACAGCCUAAUAAAAUGCAUGACAUAACAUAUAAAUUCCCAUGUAUUUCUGCCAGUCGACUAUGCAUUUGCAUUUACAUAUAAAUGCAUAAUUAUUGUACAUGUAGCAUUCUAUGAUUUUUUUUAUUAUAUUAAGAUGAUUUGAAACUAUCUUUUUAAACGGCUAAUAUUCUCGGCACAUAUCAAAUUUAACAAUGAUGAAAGAAGUGACAGUAGAAUAGAUUACAAAACAUAUUUUUAACAAUACAAUGCUUACAUGAAC
This 1628-nucleotide long non-coding RNA is filed under the name Mytilus galloprovincialis (Mediterranean mussel). The record is from RNAcentral. Lineage: Eukaryota; Metazoa; Mollusca; Bivalvia; Mytilida; Mytilidae.